Oreochromis aureus is the source of this 406-nucleotide long non-coding RNA. NCBI's taxonomy places the organism in Eukaryota, Metazoa, Chordata, Actinopteri, Cichliformes, Cichlidae. The record is from Ensembl.
CUCCAAGUUGCUCAUGGCCAUGGAGAAGGGAAGUGUGAAGGAUAUUCAAGGAAAAACUCUGGAUGAAAUUGGUGAUGACAUAGAUGGGAUGGCUACUGGAUCACAGCAACUCCCUGAUGCUUCCACAUCAUGAGAUGACCAGGGGAAUGAUGCCUGUGUGACUUCUGGUUCACCUCCUGUCCCUGACUCAGUUACUAAAGGUUUACGUGUUUCAUCAAGGCGGUGUGUGAAGAGACCAUGGUCUGAGGAGGAGAUAGGAGCGGUGAUGAAACAUAUGAAGCCUUUUAUUGAAAACGGUAUCACUGUCACCAACCAGCAGUGUCUGAAGUGCAAAGAAAAGGAACAACCUAUCUUGGAGACGAGAUCUAUUCAAAACAUUCGAGAUUUUGUGCGCAACAGAGGACUG